AGUGAACGCUGGCGGCAGGCCUAACACAUGCAAGUCGAGCGGCAGCGGGUCCUUCGGGCUGACGGCGAGCGGCGGACGGGUGAGGAAUGCAUCGGAAUCUGCCCUGUCGUGGGGGAUAACCUAGGGAAACUUAGGCUAAUACCGCAUACGACCCACGGGUGAAAGCGGGGGAUCGCAAGACCUCGCGCGAUAGGAUGAGCCGAUGUCCGAUUAGCUAGUUGGCGGGGUAAAGGCCCACCAAGGCGACGAUCGGUAGCUGGUCUGAGAGGAUGAUCAGCCACACUGGGACUGAGACACGGCCCAGACUCCUACGGGAGGCAGCAGUGGGGAAUAUUGGACAAAGGGCGCAAGCCUGAUCCAGCCAUGCCGCGUGGGUGAAGAAGGCCUUCGGGUUGUAAAGCCCUUUUGUCCGGGAAGAAAUCGUCUGGGCUAAUACCCCGGGCGGAUGACGGUACCGGAAGAAUAAGCACCGGCUAACUUCGUG
Molecule: ribosomal RNA, 484 nt
Filed under: uncultured bacterium
Lineage: Bacteria
Description: partial 16S ribosomal RNA
Rfam family: Bacterial small subunit ribosomal RNA
Source: RNAcentral